AGGAGCCGGCGGCUAAGGCGGCCUCGGGGAGGGAGGCAGCGGCCACCAGCCAUUUUCAGCUCCAGUGGAGCAAAGUUUGGAGUCUGUAACCAGGAGGGG
This 99-nucleotide long non-coding RNA is filed under the name Dasypus novemcinctus (nine-banded armadillo). RNAcentral describes it as "GNAS antisense RNA 1 conserved region 1 (ENSDNOG00000048814.1)". It matches the Rfam family "GNAS antisense RNA 1 conserved region 1". The record is from RNAcentral. Lineage: Eukaryota; Metazoa; Chordata; Mammalia; Cingulata; Dasypodidae.